RNAcentral lists this ribosomal RNA (484 nucleotides) under uncultured bacterium. RNAcentral's name for it is "partial 16S ribosomal RNA". It matches the Rfam family "Bacterial small subunit ribosomal RNA", at positions 30 to 507 of the family's 1533-position model. The record is from RNAcentral.
AUUGAACGCUGGCGGCAGGCCUAACACAUGCAAGUCGUGCGGAUGAAGGGAGCUUGCUCCUGGAUUCAGCGGAGGACGGGUGAGUAAUGCCUAGGAAUCUGCCUGGUAGUGGGGGAUAACGUCGGGAAACGGGCGCUAAUACCGCAUACGUCCUGAGGGAGAAAGUGGGGGAUCUUCGGACCUCACGCUAUCAGAUGAGCCUAGGUCGGAUUAGCUAGUUGGUGGGGUAAAGGCCUACCAAGGCGACGAUCCGUAACUGGUCUGAGAGGAUGAUCAGUCACACUGGAACUGAGACACGUUCCAGACUCCUACGGAAGGCAGCAGUGGGGAAUAUUGGACAAUGGGCGAAAGCCUGAUCCAGCCAUGCCGCGUGUGUGAAGAAGGUCUUCGUAUUGUAAAGCACUUUAAGUUGGGAGGAAGGGCAGUAAGUUAAUACCUUGCUGUUUUGACGUUACCAACAGAAUAAGCACCGGCUAACUUCGUG